UGACGGGACAGAGAAGUACUGCGUGCGGUAUCCGCGCUUCAGAAAAGGUGCCCAUGUGGUGCGUCCCAUCAAAGAGGCAGCCUCAUACGGUUAUGCAACAUCAUUAAUGAAGGCCCUUCGGGAGAGCUACGCCAAUUCACCCGCGGUUCUUCGAGAGGUUGGCGCCAAUCUGUCCUCCGAUGCACCCGCCCCCAUCGCCAAAUCCUUCGAACAGAUUCCUAAGGAGGAGGCCAUCAGCCUCUACCUAGCCCGGCAGUCACGCUUCAAGAAAACCUAAUUUCACAUUAUUAUUUUUUUCCACGGACAAGUCCAAUGAUUUAGUUGUUAUUUGCAUGAAAUUUCUUUGUAUGUAAUUCAAAAUAAUUUGGUAAUCAUUUUACCUGUGCCUUGUCAACCUCUGUGUGCGGUGUUGUCUGGGCUCACUGUGUGUCUGCUUGAUGUGCUUUUGCAUGUAUCACUGCAUGUAUCACUGCAUGAAAUAGUGUGUGUGUGUGUGUGUGAGAGAAAGAGAACCAUCAACUGACCCUCGGGUAUGACUACACUAUUGCAGAAUUAAUUAGAAUUAGAAUUAAACAUUGCGGGUCUAGCCCUUCAUCAGUGUUCCUUGUAUGUUUUGUGCCUAACCAUUUUUUUAUAUAGAUUUAAUUCCAACCUGUGUCUUUGUUCAGUAACCAUUACAAGCAAUGCCAAUCAACUUUUUUUUAUCCAAAAUGCAUGUGUUCUGUGUACUUUAUAACAUUUUAAGGGCAAUUGAAUGAUCACAACAGAAUAAGCAUAACUAUUAUUUUUAUUCAUUUUCAUCCAAACAAGGCCAUUGAAAGCCCUGAUAGGUCUGGUCACCAUUCUGGAAUUGCUGUCUGAUGGUUGAAACCACACAAGAGGGUAGAGGCUUCCUUAUACUCCUCCCUAAAACGCCAUAAGCCCAGCGUAUAGCUUGCCUGUACGCAGUGUACCGGUAUUGCCUAGGGAUAAGUAGGAAAGAUUCUUAAGUUUAAAACUGUAAGGUUGGAAACGUCAUUUUAAGCCUGUUUCUUAUGCAUGUUUAUUGUGUAUGCAACACAUCUCCUGUCACCUAUAACUGUUGGUUCAAAUGACUCAGUGUAAAAAGAUUUGUAAAGUAAACAUAAACCAUGAACAUA
Long non-coding RNA from Gadus morhua (Atlantic cod), 1139 nucleotides. RefSeq lists it as uncharacterized. Lineage: Eukaryota; Metazoa; Chordata; Actinopteri; Gadiformes; Gadidae. The transcript is spliced from 2 exons. The record is from RefSeq and is a predicted model, not a curated record.